This 796-nucleotide ribosomal RNA is filed under the name uncultured Glomeromycotina. RNAcentral's name for it is "SSU rRNA". It matches the Rfam family "Eukaryotic small subunit ribosomal RNA", at positions 316 to 1125 of the family's 1831-position model. The record is from RNAcentral. Lineage: Eukaryota; Fungi; Glomeromycota.
AUCAACUUUCGAUGGUAGGAUAGAGGCCUACCAUGUGAACGGGUAACGGGGUGUUAGGGCACGACACCGGAGAGGGAGCCUGAGAAACGGCUACCACAUCCAAGGAUGGCAGCAGGCGCGCAAAUUACCCAAUCCCGAUGCGGGGAGGUAGUGACAAUAAAUAACAAUACGGGGCUCUUUUGGGUCUCGUAAUUGGAAUGAGUACAAUUUAAAUCUCUUAACGAGGAACAAUUGGAGGGCAAGUCUGGUGCCAGCAGCCGCGGUAAUUCCAGCUCCAAUAGUGUAUAUUAAAGUUGUUGCAGUUAAAAAGCUCGUAGUUGAAUUUCGGGGUCAGCAGGUUGGUCGUGCCACUGGUAUGCACUGGUUUCGCUGAUUCCUCCUUUCUGAAGAACUGUAAUGCCAUUAAUUUGAUGUUGCAGGGAAACAGGACUGUUACUUUGAAAAAAUUAGAGUGUUUAAAGCAGGCUAACGCUUGAAUACAUUAGCAUGGAAUAAUGAAAUAGGACGUUUGAUCCUAUUUUGUUGGUUUCUAGGAUUGACGUAAUGAUUAAUAGGGAUAGUUGGGGGCAUUAGUAUUCAAUUGUCAGAGGUGAAAUUCUUGGAUUUAUUGAAGACUAACUACUGCGAAAGCAUUUGCCRAGGAUGUUUUCAUUAAUCAAGAACGAAAGUUAGGGGAUCGAAGACGAUCAGAUACCAUCGUAGUCUUAACCAUAAACUAUGCCGACUAGGGAUCGGAUGAUGUUAAUUUUUUAAUGACUCAUUCGGCGCCUUACGGGAAACCAAAGUGUUUGGGUUC